Long non-coding RNA from Symphalangus syndactylus (siamang), 1269 nucleotides. RefSeq lists it as uncharacterized. The record is from RefSeq and is a predicted model, not a curated record. Lineage: Eukaryota; Metazoa; Chordata; Mammalia; Primates; Hylobatidae.
GUGAAGAAGGGCAGAAGAUGAAGCAGAGCAGGAAAUGCAGAAGGUGGAUCAUAAGAACCUUACUUAAUUUCGAUAGCUUUGCAGGUCACUGAAGAACUUUAAUCAGGGAAUUGAUGUAACAGAAUUUUGGAAAGGUCACCCUGGUUACGGUGUAACCUGGAAUGACUCAGAAGAGAUAAGACUAGAGGCAGGGAUACUAGCUAAGAAGCUGUUACAGUAAUGAAAGAAGAAAUGAUGAGAACCUAAACUAAGGCAAUAGUAACGGAAGCAAAGAUAAGUGAAGAGAUUUCACAGGUUUAUAAGAAGAAAGUGGUAGGACUUGACAAUUAAUUGGAUGUAAAGACCAAAGCAAGCGGCAGUCAAGGAUGGCUCCUGGAUUUCUGGCUUGAGAGACUAGGUGGAUGAAAGAGCAGAUGAGAACACCAAAGACAGAAUAUAUGGUUCUUCUAGAAGAUCUGCUUUCAAUUUUACUAAAGUGAAUGACCCACUUUGAUGAAAAGAACAAUGACUUCUCAGGUCUCUUACAACUCUAAUGUUACAAUUCUAUUGUUCAUCUGGAAUUGUGUUUUGAAGACAGCACACCUGUGGCCUUAAAGCUUCCUUGGUGAACAUGUGAAAUAUUUUUUAAUGAAAAUCCAUUACAUGUAAAGCCAUACAACCCCAAACAUGCAGUGAUGAUGCUUACAGCAAAGAAAAACCAAGUAAAGACACUAUCUACAUUUACCUACUCUGAUCCCAAUUGGCUGCAAACAGCAAAAGAAUCUUCCUGCCGUAAUGGUCUCGGUUUUCCAGCACCCCGGGGAACCCAUCGAUCAGAGCCCUCUUAAUGCCGGGAUCAUCUGCCUUGAAGUUUUUGAACAUGUCCAGGUUUAGCUGGCGGUACUGGAAAUACUGAGCCAGGAGUCUAAAGGCAUCCGCUUGGUGAAACUUCCUGGCUCGGAGAAAUCUCAGGAUGAAGGCAUCAUCUGUACGUAAAAAUCCAAUGUCAGGCCUGGUGAUGAUCAUGUCCCUGACUUGCUGAAUAUCCUGAUGUAAAACAUCUGGGUUUUCAUUCAGUUCCAGGCGAGCUUUCUCUAUAGUCUCUGGACUGAGUCCAGCCUGUAAAUGGGUCAUCUUGGCCAAAUCUCCGUUCCAAGUGCUUACCUUCUGAUAUUUUGGAAGAAGAGAGACUGGUCCCAUUCACCUGAUGGUCUGCUGAAACUGUGGCCCAUUCAACAGUGUUUUACUACCAGGCAGCCCCGGAAUAGACAAAUAGAGGGUCUUCUUUCA